AGGCACGUAGCUCAGUUGGUUAGAGCACCACCUUGACAUGGUGGGGGUCGUUGGUUCGAGUCCAAUCGCGCCUA
Molecule: transfer RNA, 74 nt
Organism: Pseudomonas agarici
Lineage: Bacteria; Pseudomonadati; Pseudomonadota; Gammaproteobacteria; Pseudomonadales; Pseudomonadaceae
Rfam family: tRNA
About the family: Transfer RNA (tRNA) molecules are approximately 80 nucleotides in length.
Source: Rfam